AAUAUUCUUAAUGCGGGACCUAAAAAGGGUUUGUCUUACACUUGGAAAAGAAUUGUAGCGGGUAUUCAAACCUUCAAGAGGGGAUGCAUUUGGCGAGUUGCUACUGGUUCACAAAUUAACAUCUGGCAAGACUCAUGGAUCCCAACAAGUGCAUCUCAGAAGGUGAUCACCCCUAGAGGUGUAACAAUGUUGUCGAAAGUUGAAGAGCUUAUAGACCCACGUUUGGGACAAUGGGACGAGGAUCUGAUUCACGAUAAUUUUUCCCGUGUUGAUGUUAAGAGAAUCCUGCAAAUUCCGCUGAAUGUUCAGGUCACCGAGGAUUUCGUUGCAUGGAAUUUCAUACGGUCCGGCACCUUUUCUGUUCGGUCAGCAUAUCAUAGAGAGUUUGAACACCAAUUCAGAUACAUGUUGGUUCGCUCGGAUGGUCAUGGGAGUGUGAACAUCAACCUUGUUUGGAAGGAACUUUGGCUGUUGCGAAUCCUUGGAAAGGUGAAACAUUUUGCAUGGAAGGUUUUCCACGGUGUUCUUCCCUGCUACAAAGUAUUAGCGGCUCGACAUGUCCCUUGCUCGCCCCAAUGCCCUAUAUGCAAGAUUAGAGUUGAAGAUGUGCAACACAUUUUGUUUCGAUGCCAGCGCGCUGAGGAUGUUUGGAAUCAACUUGGAUUAUUAGAAGCUAGUGAUAGAGCAGUUCUGGAAGAUAGAUUGGGAUCUGUUACCAUGGAAAUUCUGUGUAAACUAAGCAUAGUAUCAAGCGAACUCCCGAUGGCGAAACUCACUCUCAUAACAGCCUGGUACAUUUGGUGGAAACGACGUCAGAUGGUGAUCCAAACUCCUGAAAGAACUGCACUAUCUAUCAGGGUUUUGGCUGCAAAUUAUAUUAAGUCAGUGACACCCACGUUCCUAUAUAUCUGGAAAUUUGAUCACACGUGGAAAAAGCCUUGCCAUGGGUUUGAUAAAAAAAUUCUCGAAUACGCACGAGUGUGCGUAUCAUGCAUUAAAGAAGGAGGGGGAAAGCUCCCCAAAGUCACAAACUUUACAUCAUAUGUAGUAUGUACAAGCGGUCAAGCCGCAUCCACCUCAUAUUCGUAG
RNAcentral lists this ribosomal RNA (1089 nucleotides) under Triticum aestivum (bread wheat). Its description in RNAcentral is "partial small subunit ribosomal RNA". Lineage: Eukaryota; Viridiplantae; Streptophyta; Magnoliopsida; Poales; Poaceae. The record is from RNAcentral.